Molecule: ribosomal RNA, 636 nt
Filed under: uncultured marine eukaryote
Lineage: Eukaryota
Description: bacterial SSU rRNA
Rfam family: Eukaryotic small subunit ribosomal RNA
Source: RNAcentral
UGCUGUUAAAAUGCUCGUAGUUGGAUCAACAGUUCGACAGUGCAAGGUGGCCCCACUGAGCCUUGGCUCCGGUCAUGGUGACGUGGCGGAUCAACCCCUUGCGUUAAACUGUCGUCUCUAACAGACCGAAACGGUUCCCUGCGAGUAGGCCCCUUAAUUAGGGCUGAAAACACCUACGCAUCAACCAUAUGCUUACGGGACGUCGGUCAACGUUACUGUGAGCAAACCAGCGUGUCCAAAGCAGGCUCUGCCUGAAUGUUCGAGCAUGGAACAACAAGGGGUCGAUUCUCUCGGUUCUUUUUGUUGGUUUUUAACCCGAGAAGGAGUAAUUCAGGCCACGGUGUCUGGGCUUGGUUCCCCUUCACCUUGGUGGAGGCCCCAGUUAGGCCGUGUCCUUACGGGAUAAAUAGGGACUGACGGGGUCGUACGUACUUCUACGUCAGAGGUGAAAUUCUUAGAUCGUGGGAAGACGAACUUCUGCGAAAGCAUUCGACAAGAAUGUAUUCAUUAAUCAAGAACGAGAGUGUGGGGAUCGAAGAUGAUCAGAUACCGGCGUAGUCCACUACUGUAAACAAUGCCGUCUCAGGAUUGAGAAGCGAACAUAAUGACUUUCACAGCACUAACCCCUGUAACGAG